This 1732-nucleotide ribosomal RNA is filed under the name Convoluta niphoni. RNAcentral's name for it is "SSU rRNA". It matches the Rfam family "Eukaryotic small subunit ribosomal RNA". Lineage: Eukaryota; Metazoa; Xenacoelomorpha; Acoela; Convolutidae. The record is from RNAcentral.
AUGCAUGUGUAAGUAAAUCUUGAAAAAGUGGAACCGCGAAUGGCUCAUUAAAUCAGUUAUUAUCUGCAAGAAAAUGCUCAGUCUAUAAGAAUACCUGCGCUAACCGCGCUGUUAAUGCUUGCAGAUCGGUGCCGAGAGGUACAACUUUUGGGAGAUGUCUACCAGGUACACUUGAAACAAGAGUGGCCAUGGGAAGAUGAAUCCGCUAUGACAGUUUGAUAACUGAAGUACCGCAAAUUCCGUGUAGGAGGGCGGAGUUUCUUUCGAGUUUCUGAGCUAUCAACCUAUGACGGUAGGGUAACGGCCUACCGUGGUUGUGACGGCUAACGGGGAAUCAGGGUUCGAUUCCGGAGAAGGAGCCUGAGAAACGGCUACUACAUCCAAGGAAGGCAGCAGGCACGCAAAUUACCCACUCCUGGCACGGGGAGGUAGUGACGAGAAAUAACCAUAUGAACCUUAAUGGUUUAUAAUGGGAAUGGAAUGGAUUUAAAAUAUCCAUUGAUGACCGAGUAGAGGGCAAGUCUGGUGCCAGCAGCCGCGGUAAUACCAGCCUCUACAAGCGUAUGCAUGAGUUGCUGCGUUUAAAAAGCUCAUAGUUGGAUCUUUUCGAGUAUUUGGAUACAUCGGCUUAGUGCAUUGCGCAUUAAGACGCCUUACGCUCGUAACCCCCGCAUCGAUGAAGCUGGUUGCACUUAAUUGUGACGACCAGUGGAAUUGGUGUUACCACUCUGAGUAAAUUAGAGUGUUCAAAGCAUCCUUUGGGAUUGAAUAAUAAAGCAUGGAAUAAAGGAGAAUGACCCGUGACACUGCUUAUGCCUGGUGGCUUGUGCAUGGUAAUGAUUGAAAGGAACAGGCGGGGGCAUUUGUAUUGCUACGUUAGAGGUGAAAUUCUUGGAUCGUGGCAAGACAAACUACUGCGAAAGCAUUUGCCAAGAAUGUUUUCAUUAAUCAAGAACGAAAGUUAGAGUAUUAAAGAGGAUUAGAUACCCUCGUAAUUCUAACCAUAAACUAUACCAACUUACGAUUUGUCCUCGUCCCUCUUGACUGGGCAAGAAAUUAACCGGGAAACCAAAGUUUAUUGGUUCCGGGGGAAGUAUGGUUGCAAAAUCGAAACUUAAAGGAAUUGACGGAAGGGCACCACCAGGAGUGGAGCCUGCGGCUUAAUUUGACUCAACACGGGAAAACUCACCAGGUCCAGACAUAAUGAGGAUUGACAGAUAGUAUACCUCUCAUAAUCUUAUGGGCGGUGGUGCAUGGCCGUUCUUAGUUAGUGGAGUGAUCUGUCUGGUUAAUUCCGAUAACGAACGAGAUCUUAGCCAAUUAAGUAGAAAUUGGUACUACGGUAUCAAAGUGCUUCUUAGAGGUACAGCUCCGAAUUUAAAUACGGAGAGCGAAGAGAGGCUAUAACAGGUCUGUGAUGCCCUUAGAUGUUCUGGACUGCACGCGCGCUACACUGUGGAUUACAAUGUGUGUUAAACCUAGUCCCGAGAGGAUUGGGAAAUCAUAUCAACGGUGAAGCUUUGAGGGGAUCGUGCUUUGUAACUUUAGCACGUGAACUAGGAAUUCCUAGUACGCGGAAGUCAACAACUUCUGCGGAUUACGUCCCUGCCCUUUGUACACACCGCCCGUCGCUACUACUGAUUGGACGAUGAAGUGAGAACUUUUGAAAGUCCGUUUGCUCUGUCUUCGGAUAGAGCAGACAAGAUCCCAUGAGGAUCAAGCUUCCUUGUCU